This 722-nucleotide ribosomal RNA is filed under the name Halomonas sp. RNAcentral's name for it is "bacterial SSU rRNA". It matches the Rfam family "Bacterial small subunit ribosomal RNA", at positions 733 to 1464 of the family's 1533-position model. Lineage: Bacteria; Pseudomonadati; Pseudomonadota; Gammaproteobacteria; Oceanospirillales; Halomonadaceae. The record is from RNAcentral.
GACUGACAUGACGCUGAGUGCGAAAGCGUGGUAGCAACAGGAUUAGAUACCCUGGUAGUCCACGCCGUAAACGAUGUCGACUAGCCGUUGGGGUCCUAGAGACCUUUGUGGCGCAGUUAACGCGAUAAGUCGACCGCCUGGGGAGUACGCCGCAAGGUUAAAAUCAAAUGAAUGACGGGGGCCGCACCAGCGGUGGAGCAUGUUGUUUAUUUGAUGCAACGCGAAGAACCUUACCUACCCUUGACAUUGUGCGAACUUGGUAGAGAUACCUUGGUGCCUUUGGGAGCGCACCGACCGGUGCUGCAUGGCCGUUGUCAGCUUGUGUUGUGAAAUGUUGGGUUAAGUCCCGUAACGAGCGCAACCCUUGUCCCUAUUUGCCAGCGAUUCGGUUGGGAACUUUAGGGAGACUGCCGGUGACAAACCGGAGGAAGGUGGGGACGACGUCAAGUCAUCCUGGCCCUUACGGGUAGGGCUACACACGUGGUACAAUGGCCGGUACAAAAGGGUUGCGAAUCCGCGAGGUGGAGCUAAUCCCGAAAAGCCGGUCUCAGUCCGGAUCGGAGUCUGCAACUCGACUCCGUGAAGUCGGAAUCGCUAGUAAUCGUGCAUCAGAAUGGCACGGUGAAUACGUUCCCGGGCCUUGUACACACCGCCCGUCACACCAUGGGAGUGGACUGCACCAGAAGUGGUUAGCCUAACUUCGGAGGGCGAUCACCACGGUG